UAGCCGUAAACGAUACUCGCUAGGUGUCGGCCACGGUGCGACCGUUGUCGGUGCCGUAGGGAAGCCGUGAAGCGAGCCACCUGGGAAGUACGGCCGCAAGGCUGAAACUUAAAGGAAUUGGCGGGGGAGCACCACAACGGGUGGAGCUUGCGGUUUAAUUGGAUUCAACGCCGGAAAUCUUACCGGGACUGACAGCAACAUGAAGGCCAGGCUGAAGACUUUGCCGGAUUAGCUGAGAGGUGGUGCAUGGCGUAGU
Molecule: ribosomal RNA, 256 nt
Filed under: uncultured archaeon
Lineage: Archaea
Description: partial 16S ribosomal RNA
Rfam family: Archaeal small subunit ribosomal RNA
Source: RNAcentral